Molecule: ribosomal RNA, 540 nt
Filed under: uncultured bacterium
Lineage: Bacteria
Description: bacterial SSU rRNA
Rfam family: Bacterial small subunit ribosomal RNA
Source: RNAcentral
GAAAAACCUUACCCACCUUGACAUGUACGGAAUCCUUUAGAGAUAGAGGAGUGCUCGAAAGAGAACCGUAACACAGGUGCUGCAUGGCUGUCGUCAGCUCGUGUCGUGAGAUGUUGGGUUAAGUCCCGCAACGAGCGCAACCCUUGUCAUUAGUUGCUACAUUUAGUUGGGCACUCUAAUGAGACUGCCGGUGACAAACCGGAGGAAGGUGGGGAUGACGUCAAGUCCUCAUGGCCCUUAUAGGUGGGGCUACACACGUCAUACAAUGGAUGGUACAAAGGGUCGCCAACCCGCGAGGGGGAGCCAAUCCCAUAAAGCCAUUCGUAGUCCGGAUCGCAGUCUGCAACUCGACUGCGUGAAGUCGGAAUCGCUAGUAAUCGUGGAUCAGAAUGUCACGGUGAAUACGUUCCCGGGUCUUGUACACACCGCCCGUCACACCAUGGGAGCGGGUUCUGCCAGAAGUAGUUAGCCUAACCGCAAGGAGGGCGAUUACCACGGCAGGGUUCGUGACUGGGGUGAAGUCGUAACAAGGUAACCGUA